Molecule: ribosomal RNA, 423 nt
Filed under: Blastocystis sp.
Lineage: Eukaryota; Bigyra; Opalinata; Blastocystidae
Description: SSU rRNA
Rfam family: Eukaryotic small subunit ribosomal RNA
Source: RNAcentral
UGGAUUGAGAACAAUGUACAACUCUUAUCGAUAAGCCAUUGGAGGGCAAGUCUGGUGCCAGCAGCCGCGGUAAUUCCAGCUCCAAUAGCGUAUAUUAACGUUGUUGCAGUUAAAAAGCUCGUAGUUGAAGUGUGGGUGAUCGCUGUUGUGAGACUUCGGUCUCUCGACAGUAAGUCACCCCCUUCCAGUAUCCAGUAGUGGGUAUUCAGUUACUUACUAUUGUGUGUUGGUCGUUUACUGUGAGAAAAUUAGAGUGUUCAAAGCAGGCGUUUGCUUGAAUAGAUUAGCAUGGAAUAAUAAUUGAAGGCUUUCGUGUUCGAUUUGAUUGGUUUGUUCAUGGAAGCAAGGUUAAAAGGAACAGUUGGGGGUAUUCAUAUUCACUAGUUAGAGGUGAAAUUCUCGGAUUUAUGGAAGAUGAACAAG